ACGUUUUCUGGCAUCUUGCAAAUGAGAUAAACUAAUGGAUGCUGUAACAACUUUCAGUUAUGUUUAACAAGUCUUUCUUGGAAAGAAGAAUAGCUGCUGACUGAUUCAGUAGCAAUAAAUGAGCCUGUACACACUCAGAAUUUAAUUGCUUCUAGAAUUUAAGGGUCUCUAAAGUGUUACAUGUUAUUCUGUGUACAAGAGGUAGAGUGUGCUAGCAUUCAAAACCACACUUUUACUCAAAAUCACAAGCCGUACAUAGAGCCUGUUGGAGAAGUUACAAAAAGGUCCAUUUGCAAUUGGUUGUAAAACAAAUUCCCAGCUAGAAAGGAGGCAUCUUUGCCAGAAACCACCAUGGGCCCCAGAAGUGUGUGGCAUGAAUGAAAGGCAGUAUUUAUGAAUGAUUCUUAUACCCAGUCAUCUGUCACUGACAGAAGCUGGACCUGUGGAGAAAUUAAAACCUUCAAUCCUGCUCAAGCCUCAAACUCAAAUCCUACUCAAAACCUUGGAAUUUGGAGAUAUGUCCAAAAACCCCCCUUUAACUCCAUCACACUAUUAUUUGAAUGUAAAAAUGUUGUAUAGAAUAAAGAUGAACAUAGCAGUUAAUAGUUUUACACAAUAGUCAGGUAAACAUCUUUUCAGUAUAGCACAACUGUGAAAUUGCUGCACAAUAUGACAAAAAAAUCAGCAUUAUGGCAGUAUAAGGAUAUUACUUAAAUACCUUAAAAACAAUUUUAAGUGGGUUUUUGAGUAUUAAGCAGUUUGUAGCUGCUGAUUUGAGUUUUUAUGCUGUCAUUUGGUACUAUUUGCUCUCAUCUGGUACUUUUAAUGUGAAUUAAAAGCUGCUAUUGAAAUACAAAUUAUUACAUAUUAGUCCUGAUUGAUACAGCAUUUUCACAAAAAUAUCACAGACCAUACAAGUUCUCAUGCAUCCAAGAGAAUAACUGCAACAGUUGGAUACAAAUAAACAUUGUCGGAAUUGUGAAGAUGGAAAAUGUACGUAGGCAAUAUUAUUAAUUUAUUAAUGUGCAAUUUUGAUGUCAUUCAGUGCCAAAAUGUAUGUUUUUCUAAAUAGCACUAAAAUGAGGCAAAUAAAGUAGUUUUCAAAUGGCAACUUACUUGUCACAUUACAGUGUAAACCGAUUUCAACAUUUGGGUUUGUUUUGUGUGAAAACUGUUGCACUAUUUUUGGCUGUAUUUUCCAGCAGUCCACUGCAUGCCAUUUGUGUAAGGACUCUUUCUUUAACCCUUGUGAACUGUCUCACCCAUUAUAACCCUGGUGUUGGAAUCUAGGUUUUUGGCAAAGUAUUUUGUUACCUCAGUCUUGUAUCGAGUUGCUGUAUUUUUCAGUUUGUUACAUUGAUAAUGAUUGUUUCACUAAUUAAAUAAUGUAAAAAAAAAGAAGAAAAAGUUUGUUUACUUCAGCAACAAAUUGCAUUUGGUUGUAAGCUGAAAAAUGUGCAGACUGUAUAUGCUGUUAACAAUAAAAUGUUCUGAAAAAGACUAGUAAAGGUAUAGAAGGAACAUGUGGGCUUAAAGGCAGCAAGCAUGUUUUAUUUGUGAAUCAAUGGUAAUAGAGUUGAAGAGACUUUAUAGUGCACAAUGUGUAGCCAUUUAAUAGUAUAAAUACAACAGAAUCCAAAUUUGUAACAGAAAAUUGAAAAAACUUCCAAAUUUGCCUUUUUUUUAAAAGUGGGAUUUGUAAAGUCCAAAGAAGUGGAGACAAACCUAUCCUGCUCUUUUCCUAAGAAAUGUAUUUUUGUUUGAUGAAACAUUGGAGCGGGUUGCUCCAUCCCUGGCAGUGUUCAGGGCCUGGUUGGACGCGGCUCGGAGCAACCUGCCCUAGUGGAAGGUGUUCCUGCCCAUUGGCAGGGGGUUGGAACUGGUUGGGCUUUCAGGUCCCUUCAACCCAAACCAUGCUGUAAUUCCCCAUUCAAGGCAAAUAAGAUCCAUGUUAUGACUGGCAAAGAAGGUGCUUUAAUUUUUCUGCAGAAACAUAAUUUCAUGAGCAGUUGCUUGAGAGACAAAUUGUAACCUACUAUGAAGGCAAGACCAAAAUCAGCUCAUACAAAAUAGGUACUUUUAGAGCUGAAAAAGAAAGCACAUAUCCCCUUCCUGAAAUGGACUCCUUUUCCUGUUAUCCUCCAGAAACAGGAAGAGUGGUUUGAGGUUUUUUUUUAAUUGCUUUGUAGUGCUGGAAAUCACUUGGAUCUGUACAGUUUUUUUUCCAGGGUCAUGUCCAGUGUUUCACUGUAAAUAUUUUAUAAGGGAAGCAUCAGUUAAGUGUCUCUUAGAUCUACCAAAUGGUUCUUUGCACUGAUAGCAUCAGUUUAAAUGCUGAAAUUCUUUGGAAUUGCUUUCCUCCCCAUAGACAACAGGAUAGAAAAUAAACAAAGUGAGGCAUUAGGAAGGAAAGGCAACAAUCGCUAUAUGCCAGAUUGCCUCUGUAACAAUAAUAAUGGCAGAUUACAGGGGAAAAAAAGGACUGCUUUCUGCAUUACAGUAUUUCACUAUAAGGGAACAUGUUUUUGUGAUAAAACACCCAAAGAUGAGUACUGAAGAGCUCAUUAAAUGCUCCUGAUGUCCAAGUCUUUUAUUUGUAACCUGGGGAAGAAAAACCAAAAUGAAAUCUUUAAGAAGUUUGUUCCUACUUUAGAUGCCAGGCUGUCCUGGGUAUGUGAGUGAGGGCACUGGUAAAUUGCAUUGAUUUUUGUUCUGAAAUCAGUGAUGGUGGUUGUAUUUCCAUAGCUGUGAUCUACUACUGUGAGCAUUUAUUUACCAAAUCCUGAAAUUCUCUUUGCUUAGGGGGAACAUAAAGAAAAAAAGAAGUCAAAGUUCACAUGUCUCAGCAGACUUCAGAUGUGAAAGUAACUCAGAUAAGCAUGUUAGGAAGGAUGAAAACACCCAUUUUGCGUCACAGUUCUGCAUAAGAAAAUGCAGAUAGUAAUGAAUUGGAGGAAGUAUCCUUUUUAUUUCUGGCCUUUGCCUGUAGCCGUGCUCUUACUGCCAGAAAUCAGCUUUUCAGAUUUAAGGAAGAGUAGAUUAUGUUCCAAAUGAUUACUUGCUUCUGAUGGUCCCUGCUUUGGGUUUGCAAGCAUGUUGUAAGCAAGUAAAAAGUAAGCAAGGUCAGAAAGCAAAUCCAUUUGUUGUAGUGUACGUGUAGAGAGAAGUCUGUCCAAUUCUGCAGGAUAGAAAAAGUAAGUAAGCAGCUAGAUAACUUAUUUUACAUCUGAUUUAUUAAUUGAUAGCACUAAAUAAAAUGACUUUUUGAACACACAGGAACACUGUAGAACCCUGGAAACAUUGGAAGGUGGUUGUAGCAAAAUGGUUACCGUUGCUUGCAAUUAUGCAAAACUGGUUAUGUGAACCUGUUUGACACAAACACAAUGAAUGUAUGCAUUGUCUUUUAGAAGGUAACGUCAUGGGGCAAAAGCAAGGAAAUGCAAAGCAAGGUGACGGGCAGCCAGCUGGUGCAGGAAUGAGUAGGUGAAGAUUAAAGAAAAAAAAAAAACAAACAAAAAAACCCUUUACUUUCUUUUCAAUUACAAGAUGUUCUUUGCUGCUUUCAGGUACAGCAUACUCGGAAGUCCAACUAGUCCUGCCUGCAUUGUUUAAUAGCACAAUUGUUUUAAUUCUUUUGACAGUUGGGAGUGGGGAGGAAAUAGUUUCUAUUUCGCUUAUCAGCCUCAAAGAGGGUUGCUGAGGAGACUUCGAUCUUCAGAUCAUAAGGGUGAAUGCAGGUGGCAGAGUAAAAGCGUGUGUUUGCACAGCUACUGAGUUACAGAAGUUACUUAGCCAUUACAAACACCAUUUUUGCAGCCAUGUUUUUGGAUCACUCUGUGAAGCCCAGCACCUAGUAUGUUGUAUAUGAGAGUUAAUAUAACCUAUUGUUUUGCAUAAAUUGUUUUCUACAGAAGCAUUGCAUGUGCUGAACCCCUCCACAACCAGAGAGGGCUUCCUAGGUCUUACAGCAGCACAAAUAAGGAAGUUUGCAUGCCAGUUCAGAUGUAACUAGUUUAUAAAGAGCUAAAAAGUUUUAUUCCCCUGUGUGUAUUUUCAGAAAGAGAGAGGUAAUGUGGGUCACACACAGACAGGGAGCAGAAUUCACACUUGGGCUUACCCCACACUGCUAUCCUUGGAGUGCACUAUGAGGAGCACAGGGCUCUAUCAGACCUAAAGAGAUCACCAAGUGUUAAUUAACAAUUAAUAUAGCCACCAAGAAAAGCUCUGCCAGGAAAGAGGGACACAUCAGUACGAAGUCCAACUGAUAGUGGCCUGCUUCCUUCUGUUGGUGAUUUGCAUGAAGUCACAACGAAUCAGACUGAGAGACGCCUCUUGCUGACCCCCACUCUUCCUUCAGCUUAAUAAUCUCCUGACAUCCUGAUAGGGACCAUGAGAGGAGACCUAGAAUGGAGAUUUCACUGAAGAAACUGCACGUCAAAGGCUGACAAAAGUACUAAUAGAAUUGUAGAGGAAGCAGAUGCUGGGGAAUGAGCAAAGUUCCAAGGUCUCUCAUUUCAGUGGAAGCAUAAAGCAGAAUUGGACCAGUGGAAAGCAUGAAGUGCUAGAUGAAGAGGCUUGAAACUGUAACAUUGACUAACACAAGAUCCUACUACGCUCUGAAAACAUUUUCUUUGUGAUUUGACAAUUAGGAGACUGAGAGACUGUGACAAUACAAGAAAAGGCAGUU
This is a long non-coding RNA of Pezoporus occidentalis (night parrot), 4687 nucleotides long. RefSeq lists it as uncharacterized. NCBI's taxonomy places the organism in Eukaryota, Metazoa, Chordata, Aves, Psittaciformes, Psittacidae. The transcript is spliced from 4 exons. The record is from RefSeq and is a predicted model, not a curated record.